This 468-nucleotide ribosomal RNA is filed under the name uncultured bacterium. Its description in RNAcentral is "partial 16S ribosomal RNA". It matches the Rfam family "Bacterial small subunit ribosomal RNA", at positions 28 to 507 of the family's 1533-position model. The record is from RNAcentral.
GACGAACGCUGGCGGCGUGCUUAACACAUGCAAGUCGAACGGAAAGGCCCUGCUUUUGGGGGGUGCUCGAGUGGCGAACGGGUGAGUAACACGUGAGUAACCUGCCCUUGACUUUGGGAUAACUUCAUGCAACUGGGGCUAAUACCGGGUAGGAGCUCCUGCUGCAUGGUGGGGGUUGGAAAGUUUCGGCGGUUGGGGAUGUACUGGCGGCUUAUUAGCUUGUUGGUUGGGUAGUGUAUUAGCAAGGCCUUGAACGGUAGCCGGCCUGGGCGGGUGACCGGCCCAACUAGGACUGGGAUACGGCCCAGACCCCUACCGGACGCAGAGGAGGGGUAUAGUGCACUAGGGGCGGGGGGCUGGUGCGAUCAAGCCACGCCGCGGGAGACAGGCUUGCGGUUGGAAACCGCUUUCGCCUGUGACGAAGCGUGAGUGACGGUAACGGGUAAAGAAGCACCGGCUAACUACGUG